This is a long non-coding RNA of Teleopsis dalmanni, 635 nucleotides long. RefSeq lists it as uncharacterized. The record is from RefSeq and is a predicted model, not a curated record. Lineage: Eukaryota; Metazoa; Arthropoda; Insecta; Diptera; Diopsidae. The transcript is spliced from 3 exons.
AAAUUUUGAAAACAAAAUUUCGGUACAAUGAGUGAAGAUAGAUUUAUAAAUUUUGUAAAGUAUAUUGAAGAGAAACACCCAAAACUGACAUCGGUAGAAGUUAUAAAAGAAUGUGGUGAGAUGUGGAUGAAAUUCAAUGAAACAGAAAAACAGGAAUUUUCUACACCCGGACCGCUGGUGUCGUCGAGCAGUGAAGACAUUGUGGAUAGUAUCUACUCAAUUUUAAAAGAUAAUACACCGAAAAUUGGAAGGAAACGCAAAGCAGCGAAACGGAAGAGGGUAGUUAACAAGCGUCGGGCAAAGAAAAACAAGGUAGGCCGUCGUGGAGGACGUGCUAAAAAACAGGGUAAAAAGGGUAGAAGGAUUCGCGGAAAAUAAUAUUGCACUACAAAGGCCGUCAAUGAAAAUCUCAUGUUUGACAGCAAUCAAUAAUGUUCUGGACUUCUUUAAUAUUCUCACGGUGACGGUAUCAAACAUAUAGAUGAAUGGAUUAUUGGCAUAUAGUACGACUUAAGGACAAGACAUAACGACAGGACGCGUGAGAGAUAUUCUAAAUUUGUGGUUAUAUUUUCGGAUCUAACUUUUCUUUAUGAGUAUUCAUCAAAAUUUUUACAGAUAGUAUGAAAAGUAUAUUU